RNAcentral lists this ribosomal RNA (253 nucleotides) under uncultured bacterium. Its description in RNAcentral is "partial 16S ribosomal RNA". It matches the Rfam family "Bacterial small subunit ribosomal RNA", at positions 524 to 776 of the family's 1533-position model. The record is from RNAcentral.
UACGAAGGGGGCUAGCGUUGCUCGGAAUCACUGGGCGUAAAGGGUGCGUAGGCGGGUCUUUAAGUCAGGGGUGAAAUCCUGGAGCUCAACUCCAGAACUGCCUUUGAUACUGAGGAUCUUGAGUUCGGGAGAGGUGAGUGGAACUGCGAGUGUAGAGGUGAAAUUCGUAGAUAUUCGCAAGAACACCAGUGGCGAAGGCGGCUUACUGGUCCGAUACUGACGCUGAGGCACGAAAGCGUGGGGAGCAAACAGG